This 499-nucleotide ribosomal RNA is filed under the name uncultured Glomeromycotina. RNAcentral describes it as "partial small subunit ribosomal RNA". It matches the Rfam family "Eukaryotic small subunit ribosomal RNA", at positions 591 to 1092 of the family's 1831-position model. The record is from RNAcentral. Lineage: Eukaryota; Fungi; Glomeromycota.
CCAAUAGCGUAUAUUAAAGUUGUUGCAGUUAAAAAGCUCGUAGUUGAAUUUCGAGAUCGGUUUAUUGGUCGUGCUAUUGUACGUACUGGUAUUACCGGUUUCUCCUUUCUGACGAACCUUAAUGCCAUUAAUUUGGUGUUUUGGGAAAUCAGGACUGUUACUUUGAAAAAAUUAGAGUGUUUAAAGCAGGCUUACGCUUGAAUACAUUAGCAUGGAAUAACGGAAUAGGACGUUUGAUUCUAUUUUGUUGGUUUCUAGGAUCGACGUAAUGAUUAAUAGGGAUAGUUGGGGGCAUUAGUAUUCAAUUGUCAGAGGUGAAAUUCUUGGAUUUAUUGAAGACUAACUACUGCGAAAGCAUUUGCCAAGGAUGUUUUCAUUAAUCAAGAACGAAAGUUAGGGGAUCGAAGACGAUCAGAUACCGUCGUAGUCUUAACCAUAAACUAUGCCGACUAGGGAUCGGAUGAUGUUAAUUUUUUAAUGACUCAUUCGGCGCCUUACG